GGCCAGACUCCUACGGGAGGCAGCAGUGGGGGAUAUUGCACAAUGGGGGAAACCCUGAUGCAGCGACGCCGCGUGAGUGAAGAAGUAAUUCGUUACGUAAAGCUCUAUCAGCAGGGAAGAAAAUGACGGUACCUGACUAAGAAGCCCCGGCUAACUCCGUGCCAGCAGCCGCGGUAAUACGGGGGAUGCAAGCGUUAUCCGGAUUUAUUGGGUUUAAAGGGUGCGUAGGCUGUGAGGUAAGUCAGCGGUGAAAUGCCCCCGCUCAACGGGGUGAAGUGCCAUUGAUACUGCCUUGCUGGAAUGCGGAUGCCGUGGGAGGAAUGUGUGGUGUAGCGGUGAAAUGCAUAGAUAUCACGCAGAACUCCGAUUGCGAAGGCAGCAUACCGGCGCCCAACUGACGCUGAAGCACGAAAGCGUGGGUAUCGAACAGGAUUAGAUACCCCUGUA
This 447-nucleotide ribosomal RNA is filed under the name uncultured bacterium. Its description in RNAcentral is "bacterial SSU rRNA". It matches the Rfam family "Bacterial small subunit ribosomal RNA", at positions 329 to 792 of the family's 1533-position model. The record is from RNAcentral.